GUUUAAACUUCACCUAAUCCCUAUUAGGGAUUGAAAC
Non-coding RNA from Nostoc sp. PCC 7107, 37 nucleotides. The record is from Rfam. NCBI's taxonomy places the organism in Bacteria, Bacillati, Cyanobacteriota, Cyanophyceae, Nostocales, Nostocaceae.